AGAGUUUGAUCAUGGCUCAGAAUGAACGUUGGCGGCGUGGAUUAGGCAUGCAAGUCGUACGGGCCGCAAGGCGUGGCGCAAGGGUGAGUAAGGCGACGGUAACCAACCCCAUGGCUGGGUAUAGCCGCGGGAAACCGCGGGUAAUCCCCCAGCGACGUGCGGGGCCGGCAUCGGCUCUGCACCAAAGCUCCGGCGCCGUGGGACGGGCCGUCGUGGUAUUAGGUAGUUGGCGGGGUAACGGCCCACCAAGCCUGCGAUGCCUACCGGGCGUGCGAGCGUGGCCCGGCACACUGGGACUGAGACACUGCCCAGACUCCUACGGGAGGCUGCAGUCGAGAAUCUUCGGCAAUGGGCGCAAGCCUGACCGAGCGACGCCGCGUGGAGGACGAAGGCCUUCGGGUUGUAAACUCCUGUCGAGGGGAAGGAAGUCCCGACUUGUCGGGAUUGACCGAUCCCUGGAGGAAGCACGGGCUAAGUUCGUGCCAGCAGCCGCGGUAAGACGAACCGUGCGAACGUUAUUCGGAAUCACUGGGCUUAAAGCGCGUGUAGGCGGGACGGCACGUCUGUCGCUGAAAUCCCCCGGCUCAACCGGGGAACGGGCGCGGAUACGACCGUCCUGGAGGGGCGUAGGGGGACCUGGAACUUCCGGUGGGGCGGUGAAAUGCGUUGAGAUCGGAAGGAACGCCCGUGGCGAAAGCGAGGUCCUGGACGCCUACUGACGCUGAGACGCGAAAGCCAGGGGAGCGAACGGGAUUAGAUACCCCCGUAGUCC
RNAcentral lists this ribosomal RNA (772 nucleotides) under uncultured bacterium. Its description in RNAcentral is "bacterial SSU rRNA". It matches the Rfam family "Bacterial small subunit ribosomal RNA", at positions 8 to 796 of the family's 1533-position model. The record is from RNAcentral.